RNAcentral lists this ribosomal RNA (586 nucleotides) under Toxomerus difficilis. RNAcentral's name for it is "eukaryotic LSU rRNA". Lineage: Eukaryota; Metazoa; Arthropoda; Insecta; Diptera; Syrphidae. The record is from RNAcentral.
AGUACGUGAAACUGCUUAGAGGUUAAACCCGAUGAACCUGAAUAUCCAUUAUGGAAAAUUCAAUACUAAUAUUGCAAUAUAUAUCAUAUUUGUAAAAGUAGUGUGCAAUUUUUCCAUAUAAGGACAUUGUAAUCUGUUAAUGUAAUAAUUAUUUAUCAAAAGAUUCUUUACUUAAGUUUAUUCAAAUUGUUUAUUUUCGGAUAUUCAACAUAAAAUAAAUGUAUUGAAUUGGAUAAAUCAUUGACAGAUAUAAUUAUAUAAUGUGCUCAAAUUCUACGGAAUUUUACAAUGAUAAAUGCAUCUAUUGAUUUGUUUAUUUAUUUGUUUGCACUAUUAUGAUUAACAAUGCGAUAGAUUCAGGAUACCUUCGGGACCCGUCUUGAAACACGGACCAAGGAGUCUAACAUAUGUGCAAGUCAUUGGGUAUUUAUAAUAAAACCCAAUGGCAUAAUUAACUUAACUUUAUAUAUAAUGGGAUUAGUUUAUAAUUUAUUAUGAAUUAUUUAUUCAAUCCCGGGGCGUUCUAUAUAGUUAUGUAUAAUGGUAUUUAUAUUAUUUAUACCUCUAACUAGAGCGUACCUUGAGC